RNAcentral lists this long non-coding RNA (203 nucleotides) under Bos taurus (domestic cattle). Its description in RNAcentral is "long non-coding RNA NONBTAT015494". Lineage: Eukaryota; Metazoa; Chordata; Mammalia; Artiodactyla; Bovidae. The record is from RNAcentral.
UAGUUUUCACUAGAUGGCAGGUUAAUACCUAGUUCUCCUUUUUUAAAAGACAGAAUUGAAGGGAACUGAUUAGGUUUGCUGGGUUUUUAACCUAAUUCAAAAGCAUGGCAGAAUGCUCUAGAUAGGAAUUAUGGGAAUCCAAGGUAAAGAAACCUUUUUCUUACGAUUUGUAGCUACCUACUGUGCCUGACUUGGUGCCUGUG